CCUACGGGUGGCUGCAGUGAGGAAUAUUGGUCAAUGGGCUUAAGCCUGAACCAGCCAAGUCGCGUGAGGGAAGACUGCCCUAUGGGUUGUAAACCUCUUUUGGCAGGGAGCAAUGCCGGGCACGCGUACCCGGACUGAGAGUACCCGCAGAAAAAGCAUCGGCUAACUCCGUGCCAGCAGCCGCGGUAAUACGGAGGAUGCGAGCGUUAUCCGGAUUUAUUGGGUUUAAAGGGAGCGUAGGCGGAGGUGAAAGUCAGCGGUAAAAUUUCCGGGCUAAACCUAGUAUUGCCGUUGAAACUGGAUGUCUUGAGUGCGGCAGAAGUAUGCGGAAUGCGUGGUGUAGCGGUGAAAUGCAUAGAUAUCACGCAGAACUCCGAUUGCGAAGGCAGCAUACCGGAGUGUAACUGACGCUGAUGCACGAAAGCGUGGGUAUCGAACAGGAUUAGAUACCCUGGUAGUC
This 460-nucleotide ribosomal RNA is filed under the name uncultured bacterium. RNAcentral's name for it is "partial 16S ribosomal RNA". It matches the Rfam family "Bacterial small subunit ribosomal RNA", at positions 338 to 795 of the family's 1533-position model. The record is from RNAcentral.